CAUAUCAAUAAGCGGAGGAAAAGAAACCAACAGGGAUUGCCCCAGUAACGGCGAGUGAAGCGGCAACAGCUCAAAUUUGAAAUCUGGUCCCCAGGGCCCGAGUUGUAAUUUGCAGAGGAUGCUUUUGGUGAGGUGCCUUCCGAGUUCCCUGGAACGGGACGCCAUAGAGGGUGAGAGCCCCGUCUGGUUGGAUACCGAGCCUCUGUAAAGCUCCUUCGACGAGUCGAGUAGUUUGGGAAUGCUGCUCUAAAUGGGAGGUAUAUGUCUUCUAAAGCUAAAUAUUGGCCAGAGACCGAUAGCGCACAAGUAGAGUGAUCGAAAGAUGAAAAGCACUUUGAAAAGAGGGUUAAAUAGUACGUGAAAUUGUUGAAAGGGAAGCACUUAUGACCAGACUUGGCCCCGGUGAAUCAUCCAGCGGUUCCCGCUGGUGCACUUUGCCGGGGUUCAGGCCAGCAUCAGUUCGCUCCGGGGGAUAAAGGCUUUGGGAAUGUGGCUCCCUCGGGAGUGUUAUAGCCCAUUGCGUAAUACCCUGUGGCGGGCUGAGGUUCGCGCUUUAUGCAAGGAUGCUGGCAUAAUGGUCAUCAGUGACCCGUCUUGAAACACGGACCAAGGAGUCGUCUUCGUAUGCGAGUGUUCGGGUGUUAAACCCCUACGCGUAAUGAAAGUGAACGCAGGUGAGAGCCCUCCAGGGCGCAUCAUCGACCGAUCCUGAUGUUCUCGGAUGGAUUUGAGUAAGAGCAUACGGGGCCGGACCCGAAAGAAGGUGAACUAUGCCUGUAUAGGGUGAAGCCAGAGGAAACUCUGGUGGAGGCUCGCAGCGGUUCUGACGUGCAAAUCGAUCGUCAAAUAUGGGCAUGGGGGCGAAAGACUAAUCGAACCUUCUAGUAGCUGGGUUUCCGCC
RNAcentral lists this ribosomal RNA (901 nucleotides) under Metarhizium sp. RNAcentral describes it as "partial large subunit ribosomal RNA". It matches the Rfam family "Eukaryotic large subunit ribosomal RNA", at positions 39 to 962 of the family's 3401-position model. The record is from RNAcentral. Lineage: Eukaryota; Fungi; Ascomycota; Sordariomycetes; Hypocreales; Clavicipitaceae.